CCCUUAGAUGUUCUGGGCUGCACACGUGCUACACUGGCAGGUUCAGCGAGCUUCAUGCCCUGAUCUGAAAGGAAUGGGAAAUCUUUUCAAAACCUGCCGUGCUUGGGAUAGAUGUUUGCAAUUAUUCAUCUUCAACGAGGAUUGCCUUGUAAGCGCACGUCAUCAGCGUGCAUUGAAUACGACCCUGUGUUCUGUACACACCGCCCGUCGCUCCUACCGAUUGAAGUUUUCGGUGAGUUGACAGGAGGAUUUUUUUGAAACUGGUUCGCCAGUGGAUUUUAGAUCCAAAUGCCAACGAAUCGAUGGCUUUAGAGGAAGGAGAAGUCGGAACA
RNAcentral lists this ribosomal RNA (332 nucleotides) under uncultured eukaryote. RNAcentral's name for it is "partial 18S ribosomal RNA". It matches the Rfam family "Eukaryotic small subunit ribosomal RNA", at positions 1470 to 1796 of the family's 1831-position model. The record is from RNAcentral.